ACCCAGAUUCUUAACUGAUGCCAGAGAAAAAUGCAUUUUUUGUCAUAUACAUCGAUAUAAUUUGGUUCACUGUGUAGAUAUCUUCGGAUAAUGUGGCCUUUGCUCAUGCUUUCUUGGUUGUGUUUCCACUGUUUCAUAACCGUUUUCCUCUAACAACAAUGUAACAUUUCCGAUGCAUACAUGUGAUUUUCUCGGAAUUCGAAGGUCAAUCUUAUAAUCACGGAUUACUGUAUGUCCGGAAUGACAGGCUUCGAGCUGCUCAAGAAGGUGAAGGUACAGAACGUUACCUCGUUUCCUGAAAAGUCCAGAGCUUUCUCGAUGCUUCCUACAAUAAUCUCUUUGUUUCCAUGAUUUUGAUUUUCCGGCAGCAGAGUCAUCCGGUCUGAAGGAGGUUCCAGUUCUGAUCAUGUCCUCAGAAAACAUCCCUACUUGUAUCAAAUGUUUAGAGAGUGGAGCUCAGAUGUUCAUGCCGAAACGGCUGAAGCUCUCAGAAGUAAAGUCUCUGAAGUGCAAUCUGAUGAACUGCAGAAGCUGGCAGUUUACUAGGAAAAAGAUCAGAUGCAGAAAACUGAUAAAGUGAGAAAGGAUGUUAUUAUUAUCACUAUUAUCUUGAAUCAACAUAAUGACUCUAUUGAUUGGUAAACUUCUUCUCUUCCCCUACCUAUAUGCAACCGCAUCAGAAAUCUUGUAAUCUCAGAUAAAUUAUUGUC
This is a long non-coding RNA of Tarenaya hassleriana, 710 nucleotides long. RefSeq lists it as uncharacterized. The record is from RefSeq and is a predicted model, not a curated record. The transcript is spliced from 2 exons. Lineage: Eukaryota; Viridiplantae; Streptophyta; Magnoliopsida; Brassicales; Cleomaceae.